This 253-nucleotide ribosomal RNA is filed under the name uncultured bacterium. Its description in RNAcentral is "partial 16S ribosomal RNA". It matches the Rfam family "Bacterial small subunit ribosomal RNA", at positions 524 to 776 of the family's 1533-position model. The record is from RNAcentral.
UACGUAGGGUGCGAGCGUUGUCCGGAUUUAUUGGGCGUAAAGAGCUUGUAGGCGGCUCGUCACGUCGGGUGUGAAAACUCGCGGCUCAACCGCGAGCCUGCACCCGAUACGGGCGGGCUAGAGUUCGGCAGGGGAGACUGGAAUUCCUGGUGUAGCGGUGGAAUGCGCAGAUAUCAGGAGGAACACCGGUGGCGAAGGCGGGUCUCUGGGCCGAUACUGACGCUGAGAAGCGAAAGCGUGGGGAGCAAACAGG